This 241-nucleotide long non-coding RNA is filed under the name Phoenix dactylifera (date palm). Its description in RNAcentral is "long non-coding RNA (PDAC_LNC009166)". The record is from RNAcentral. Lineage: Eukaryota; Viridiplantae; Streptophyta; Magnoliopsida; Arecales; Arecaceae.
AAAGUCAUUUUGGCAUUCCUCCUGUUUCUGAGGGAGAAGAAACUAAUCCCCAACCCCAUGUUCCUAGUUCCUCUAGAACUAGUGAACCGAGUGAAGAUCAAACCUCUUCUCGUAAGAGGACUAGUGCUGUAUGGAAUGAAUUUGAUAGAGUUAUGGUUGAUGGAGUCUGAAAAGCUAAAUGUAAAAAAUGUGCCAAACUUUAUAGUUGUAGUAGUAGUGGGGGAACAGGGCAUUUAAAAAG